AUGCAUACAUACACACAUUAAAUACAUAAAUGUAAAAUGCACUAGGAUGCAAAAGAAAAUAAUCUCUGUACUUUCCAUCUUUGUGGCUGCCCACACUGAAUUGGGGAGUACAUAA
This is a small nucleolar RNA of Mesocricetus auratus (golden hamster), 115 nucleotides long. The record is from Ensembl. NCBI's taxonomy places the organism in Eukaryota, Metazoa, Chordata, Mammalia, Rodentia, Cricetidae.